Molecule: non-coding RNA, 267 nt
Organism: Anguilla anguilla (European eel)
Lineage: Eukaryota; Metazoa; Chordata; Actinopteri; Anguilliformes; Anguillidae
Product: small Cajal body-specific RNA 6
Exons: 1
Source: RefSeq, a predicted model, not a curated record
GGUCUGUGAUGUACUGUAAAAGGUCUGAUGCUUAAGUUUCCCCCAGCUUCCCUUCAUCUCCCAGAGGCCCCUGCUCUGUUCCCAGCAUGCUCUAGGUGUGUUAUGUUGGGUGCGGGGGUCUCUGACAGAUAGGAUGACCUCUCAACCUGUGUAUCUUGAAGAAAGAGGUCACAGUGAUGACGUACAUCCAACACUUUCAUUUUCCAAGGAGUUAUCGGGCUGUGGGGCAGGGACAAGCGCAUGAUCUCAAGUUUUCAAGCUGAGACC